AUGUUAGUUGACUCUUUCCAUGAGCACAUCACCAAUUUUAUUUAUCCUUCGACUCAAUUGUCUCAGAUUGCGGUCGUUAUAUGGGUGCUCUACAAGUCAUGGGGGUCCACGACUGAAGUGUUUCACGAUGCAGCUAUUUUGAUUUCCAUCGGUGGGAUUUUCAAAUGCUUACAGAAGCCAUGGGCUCUCAACAGUGCUAGCUUUAAUAGCCUAGCUAAUUCUUGUGGUCCAGCUCAGAGGACUGCAACCAGAGAAGAAGAGCUUGAAAAAUAUGUCGAGCAAGCAAGGGCCUUCAUUCUAGGAGAAGAUACAUCGGACGGGGAUGUGGUAUAUAUGCCCGGGAUGCUAUUCAUAGAUUGGGCAUAUCCCUAUUGUGAUCGCUUUACUAAUCUGAAGUUCUUCUUUUGGUAUGGCGACCAAGAGACUCAUCGUGAACUGAAGUACACACUCUCCAACAUUUUUAUAGUUCUAUACACCAGAAAGUCGAUCCCAAAUCAUCCAAAUUUGGUCGUCUCUAUUUUUGGUGUAAUAAUGACAAUGCUUUUUUGCAUCACGUCGUUAUUUUUGGCUUUACUUGUCACUGGUGUCGUUGCAAAAAAAAGUGUGGAUCGGACAGUGACACUUGUGCUAUUGUUUGGCACUCUUGUGCUAGAGAUCCUUACGUUCGAAGUUAAGGACUCUUUUAAAUAUAAGCAGUGGCCUGACAGGGUUGCCAAACAUAGCGUUCUAGGAUACAUUACCCGCAACAGAAGGCACAACAUGUUCGUGAGAUUCAUGAGCUUCUUCCAGUGCAAGGACUUCCUUGACAAAAAUUGGUCCAUGGAGCCUUGCUACACGUCUAUGAACAUCACAAAGUUAGUCCAUCAGCAUGUUCGAGAUGGGUGGAAGGAUUAUAUAAAAGACGCUGAGAGUUACAGGGAGUUCAACGACAUAAGGGGCCAGUGGACACUUGUGCGCGAGAGCUGUGAUCAAAGCCUGGGCUGGAGCUUAGAAAAGCCAUUUGAUGAGAGUGUUCUUCUUUGGCACAUUGCCACAGAUUUCUGCUUCCAUCAGAUGGACAUACCCCCUGACCAUGAAUGUGCAUCUCGAUCUAGAGAAAUAUCCAAUUACAUGAUGCACCUAUUGUUUAUGAAUCCUGAGAUGUUAAUGCCAGGUAGUCGAAGAAAUCUUUUCAAAACUGUAUAUCGAGAACUCAGAGACAUCCUCAAAGGUGAGGGAACAUCCAAUCAGGAAAAGGGGAUUGCGCAGAAAACCAUUGAUAAGUUGAAGCACAAUGUGGAUUUGAAAAUCAAUUUUAUUUACGAUGCUUGGGUACUUGCUAAAGGGCUCAUGGAUAUAGGUGAUGACAGCAAGAUGUGGAAGGUGAUCCAAGGCGUGUGGUUAGAGAUGCUCUGCUUUUCGGCUGGCAGAUGCCGAGGCUACCUGCAUGCCAAGAGUCUAGGCUCCGGUGUGGAGUAUCUCUCUUUUGUAUGGCUCCUCCUGGCAUAUAUGGGGAUGGAAACAUUCUCGGAGAGGAUUCAACGAACCAUGUCGAUUAAAUUGUUGAAACAGAGAAUAGAAAACCUUCCAAACGGAGAAUCAGGUAAUAGCAACUUUUCUGUUUCCCCAGAUGAAGGCGCCGCUCCAUUUGAUGAAAUUGUUGUCCUGCCAUAA
This 1653-nucleotide ribosomal RNA is filed under the name Triticum aestivum (bread wheat). Its description in RNAcentral is "partial small subunit ribosomal RNA". Lineage: Eukaryota; Viridiplantae; Streptophyta; Magnoliopsida; Poales; Poaceae. The record is from RNAcentral.